AUCCCAUGAUUAGGACAUGCGGCGAUAUAUUCCUAUAGCCUUUCCCAUGCUUCCGGGAUCGUCUUAUCUCUCAUCUACUGGAAACUGGAUAUUCUUCCAUGAAGGAC
Molecule: small nucleolar RNA, 107 nt
Filed under: Oryza punctata
Lineage: Eukaryota; Viridiplantae; Streptophyta; Magnoliopsida; Poales; Poaceae
Description: Plant small nucleolar RNA R71
Rfam family: Plant small nucleolar RNA R71
About the family: R71 is a member of the C/D box family of snoRNAs containing the C (UGAUGA) and D (CUGA) box motifs. Multiple nearly identical copies of this snoRNA have been identified in Arabidopsis, and it is thought to function as a 2'-O-ribose methylation guide for 18S ribosomal RNA.
Source: Rfam by way of RNAcentral